UACGUAGGGUGCGAGCGUUGUCCGGAAUUAUUGGGCGUAAAGGGCUCGUAGGCGGUUUGUCACGUCGGGAGUGAAAACUCGGGGCUCAACCCCGAGCCUGCUUCCGAUACGGGCAGACUGGAGUACUGCAGGGGGAGACUGGAAUUCCUGGUGUAGCGGUGGAAUGCGCAGAUAUCAGGAGGAACACCGGUGGCGAAGGCGGGUCUCUGGGCAGUAACUGACGCUGAGGAGCGAAAGCGUGGGGAGCGAACAGG
This 254-nucleotide ribosomal RNA is filed under the name uncultured bacterium. RNAcentral's name for it is "partial 16S ribosomal RNA". It matches the Rfam family "Bacterial small subunit ribosomal RNA", at positions 524 to 776 of the family's 1533-position model. The record is from RNAcentral.